Molecule: long non-coding RNA, 2817 nt
Organism: Amphiprion ocellaris (clown anemonefish)
Lineage: Eukaryota; Metazoa; Chordata; Actinopteri; Pomacentridae
Source: Ensembl
GGUGGAAGCUGAAUUAGUGAGGAUGACUCCUGCUCCUGUCAUCUCUAAGCUCCUCACACAUCUUUACCUGCACGAGGAAAAUCACUCCUGUAGAAUGCAGAUGUUCAGAGGGAGAUGAUGCCACAUCUGGUCCAGCUGAUGGAAGGUCUUGAAGUUCUCUGACUGGCCUCGACUGAAGAUGGUCGUCUCACUGGAUUUAAGGUUCAGAUGCUCAGUAACAAACUCUACCAAUGAGCCAGCAGGGAAGCUUUAGGUUUAUUAAAUGUUGCUAUGAAGGUAUCGCUGUUUUUCUUUGUGAAUGCAAUGCGCUCCAACUGAAACUUGAAUUAGAACUUAGAAGUAAAUCCUUUCAUCUGAAAGGAUUUAGUUGCAUUAAUAACCUCACAACAUUCUUAUUUUUAUUCCCGUCUUGGUUGGAAAUAGAAUCUCUGUAUUGAUUCAGGUAAAAACUGAACUUCACAGCAUGUUGGAGCAAAACAACCAGAUGAAAACUGUGAUGGUGUUGGAUUGUCAGACCGUAAUGUUGCAGCUCAAAGCAGCUUUUCUAGCUCAGUUCAUUCUGACAUUCAGCUAUGAAUCAACACAGCAGAUGGUGAUCCAUGCUGUGGAAGUCUCACAUCUCCUGAUUUAAUGGAGCUGCUUUGCACUUUUUACACUGUUUAUUCACCAGCACUUUAUUAUAAUAAAAGUCCCAUCUAGUUUUUAUGAGGAAUGUGAUGUUUUAAUUUCUCUGUGAAUAACUGCAGUCUAAGGGAACAGCUGGAGUUGUAACAUCUGUCCUGAUAUUGAUCAUGAAGUAUUGAUCAGAAUACUUAUGGUUAGCAGUCAUCUCUGAGGUUUUACAUUAAAAUUUUUACUUGUGUUGUGAACUUUGGUAAGAAGCAGAAACUUUAGCGUUGCCAUGGAUACAUGAGUGUUAAAUUCUGUCCAUGUUUCCAUUUUGGGAAAUUCAGUCCAGCAGAUGAGUUUGUUUUUACUGCCAGCUACCAUUCAGUCUGAGAUAUUAACAAUAAAUAAAUUUGCAUAAUGUGGAAAUGAACAGAUUUUAUUUUGAUUUAUUCCUACAAGUGCUGCAGGUAAAGUUCCAGAAUGUGGAGAAAUUUAGUCUCACAAUCACAGACAACAAAUAUUAUCUGGAAGUCAGGUUAUUGUUGUUUAUCAGCACGUGUUAGACAUAUUCCGGCUAAGACUCUAGAAUAUCAGGAUUUAUGUAAAUUUACCUCAAUAAUAUGAAUGUUCAGGUUAAGAUUGUACAGUGAUAUUUAUGUAAGUUUAGCUGAUUAAAGUUUAUGACUCUGCACUACAGUAUUAUUUAUUAUUUAAAUUUACAUCAUUAUGAUAAUAUUUAGGGUCACACCCUACAGUAUUGAGAUUAAGAAAUCAAAUAUUCUAUAAAAUGUAAAUACACUGAACUCCUUUGGAUAUAUUUAAGUGAGACUCUACAACGUUAGUUGACACAAAUCUAUCUGAUUAAAAUCAUCGUGUUUUAAUCAUUUUUACUCCAAACAUUGACUGGACUGAUUUAAACAUUAAAAUCACUCCUUUCUAAUCCUCUGCUGUACGUUGAAACCUGAGGCCUUUAAUAGAAACACACAAGUAUCUGAUUGAAGGAACUUCUGCAGAGUCCUGGUUCCAGAACAUGAUGAUAGAAUUAUAGACAAAUUUUAACAAAAGCUGCCUGAGAGUUUGCAGGUUUUUAUGUUAGAUUUCUUCAGUAAUUUAAUGAGAGUUAUCAGCAACAAUCAGGUGUUCAUUUGAUGAACUUCAUUUUCUAAAACAUCCAGAAUUGGAACUCAUAUCUUUGGCAGCUGUAAAGUUUCUGCUCCUUCAAGGUUCACAACACAAUGAAUUAAUUCCUAAAACACUCUCAAUGCUGGAGAGCGUUUGUGAUGCUGAAGCAGUGAUCAGUUUUUCUGUUUCUUCUCUGGAGAUGCACAAUGAGGGACGUCUGCAGAGACUGAGAAAGAGUCUCACCACAUCCUGACAUAAGGAAAAAGACUUUAUUGAAGACUACAAUGAGAAAAACUAUCAGACAGCAGACGGCUGCAUUCAAGUCUGUAGCUGCUGAAUUCAUGGAUGAAUCAUCUGGCACUAGAGAGGAAGACCAUCAAACAUCCACGUCAGCUGAUGGAGGUCCAAGAGUCUCACUGAACAACCAACCUACAGAGUGAAGACCUCGAAUCUGAUUGGACGGCCUCCUAUUCAGCCACAUGUGUGAACAAAUGCCUCUAAGUUGGUUUCUUUUCUAAAAUAAAUCUAGUUUGAGUCCUAAUCUAUGCCUGUGUGUUUGCUUCUUUACACCACUGUUGACAGUUUAGGCUGUUAGAUUGUUCCAGAUAAAACGAGUACAAGAUACUUCAGAGCCGUUCUACCACGAGCCUGACAGGAAGAACUCCAACAGCUACUGAAUGUUCCUGUGGUCCCCUCAAGGCUACAGGAGGAGCCCUACGAGGACGAGCAGGUCCACCUGAUGGCGGCCAGUCGCUGCGGUUCAAAGCCAACACCGACUACAUGGACUUCUACUGGACCACACGGAGGCCUUCAAACCGGACCAACAAGUUCAGCGACUCCCCGACUGGUGGGUCUGAGGACGCCACCGAGCCUCGGUCCAGCCGGCCUCCUGUCUGUGGGUGUUUGAGUGCUGAGAGGUUAAUGGAUGCAUGUGAACAUGUCUGUGUUGAAACAGCAGCUUUGGACUCAGUAACGCCAGGAAAAACCAAGAGCUCCUUUAUUUGUGACUUCCACUAAAAAAAAUGAAGAAAAUAAGUUUGCCAGGGUUCUGACUGAUAACAGAUUAAUAAAUAAUGAAAAUAAUCG